Non-coding RNA from Pelobates cultripes (western spadefoot toad), 230 nucleotides. Lineage: Eukaryota; Metazoa; Chordata; Amphibia; Anura; Pelobatidae. The record is from the annotation of a GenBank genome assembly.
AUUGCCUGUUUCCACUAUUUUGACUUUAUCACAUUUCCUGGCUCAAUAUCUACCGUGUUACUACAGCUAAAAAUGCAGCAGAACUCUUGUCUUGGAGAUUACUCUGAUCCCACAGUUAAAUUCUCUAGAACUCUCACUGGAGGAGGUCUUUUUGAAGAAGAAUUCUGGGAAAGUAACUACGUGCCAACAACUAUCAAAUGUCAUCACAAAUGACAUAAGUUCACUAACCG